RNAcentral lists this unclassified non-coding RNA (2526 nucleotides) under Hevea brasiliensis (rubber tree). Lineage: Eukaryota; Viridiplantae; Streptophyta; Magnoliopsida; Malpighiales; Euphorbiaceae. The record is from RNAcentral.
GAACGAUUCAAAAUUUUCCUUCUUUUUCUUGCAUUUAUCUUACUUUAUUUUUCCUUGUAAGUUCCAUGCAUUUGCUUUCUCUCCUCUUCUGCUUCAUAUCUUUUUCAUUCUUUCUCUGUUUAGCGAGAUUUGGCCUGGUGGGUUACUUCUUUUUUUUGUUUCAUUCUUUGGUUGCUUUGUUUCUCUUUAUAUGUAUUUGGCGUUUCAUUGGUGAUUUUAUAUAUGAGUUUUCAGAUUUCGGUCUUUGGAGAUUUCAUAGAAGACUCCUUCAUUGGUUGUAUCCAAGUCCAUCCCUGCAUUAGAACAUUUCAAAAGCUACGAUCCAAGACUGGAAGAAUUAUCCAAGUACUGGUGGGGAUUUGCUACUUGUGGUUAGAAACCAAUCAUUAUAGAUUCAAAGAUGCAGCAGGAUGCUAGGCAACUGGAGGAGGAGCUGAUGAAUAUGAAAGAAAGAUUGGCUGCAGCAGAACGAGACAGAGUGAGAUUCCGUGAUGAGCUGAAAGAGAUGAAAAAUGCAGCUUAUGAGGCCAAUGGGAAGCUAACUGAAGCAAUGUCCAAUAGGAAGGUUGCUGAUGUAUUUUCAGAGCUAAAUUCGGCAAUGGAAUCGUUAUCAAAAUCCAAUGAAGAAUUAAAAAUCAAAGAUAAAGCCAUUGCUUCUUUGAAAGCUGAACUUGACAAGGCAAAGGAAUUGGAAGCUAAAAUGGCAGAGAAAGAUGCCUUAUUGCAGAAAUUGAAAGACGAGAUGGAUAAAGUUCAAUCCUCUGAGGCUCAUGCAUUGGAUUUGUUGUCCAAAAGCAAAGACAGAAUUCAGGAACUGGAAACAGAAUUAAAGAAAGGCAGGGACUCAGAGACGAAAAUGUUAGAUUCCUUGGCUGCACAAACAAAGCGUUUUGAGCUAACCAAGAUGAUGCUUGAAGAGUCGAAGCUUGAGGUCACUUCCCUCCAUGAUGAAGUAGAAAAAAUGGCUUCACCAAAAAACGAUGAUGAUAAAUCUUCAUUCCAAAAAGAAUUAGAGAGUCUCAAGUCUGAACUUGGGCUUGCGAAAGAAAACCUAGCUCGAGCCCAGGAAGGUGAGAAACUUUCAGCAGCGAAAGCUGAAGGUUUGCUUAGGGAGAUGGAAUUGCUUAAAAACGAACUGAAGCAAGCAACUGAAGCAGAGGGGAACAACAAGAAGGCAAUGGAUGACUUAGCAAUAGCACUGAAGGAAGUUGCAACAGAAGCCAACCAAAACAAGGAGAAGCUAAUCAAAACUGAAGAUGAGCUUGAGAGUUUGAAAAAGGAGUCGGAAGAAUUGAAACAGAAGUUCAAGAGCACCGAGGAGAAGCAUAAAAUUGUAUUGGAUGAAGCAAGGAAAGAGGCUGAUCUGUAUAGAAACACAGCUGAUAGGUUGAGAUUAGAGGCGGAGGAGUCACUUCUAGCAUGGAAUGGGAAAGAGACUGGCUUUGUUGAUUGUAUCAAACAAGCUGAGGAUGAAAAGACUCUGGCACUAGAAGAGAACAGUAAACUCCUAGAAGCACUUACAGCAGCUGAGAACUUGAACAAAACAGCUAAAGAAGAGAAUCAGAAGCUGCGCGAUAUACUUAAACAGGCCUUAAAUGAAGCUAAUGUUGCGAAAGAAGCUGCAGGAAUUGCUCAAUCAGAAAAUUCCCAACUCAAGGAUUUGCUGGCUGAAAAGGAUGAUGCUUUGAUCUUCAUUACUCGAGAGAACGAAAACCUAAGGAUAAAUGAAGUUUCAGCUAAUGAGAAUAUCAAAGAGUUGAAGAGACUGCUGGCUGAAGCUUCAGGAAAAGAAUUUAAGCCUGAAGAUAAGGAACAAGAACAAAAGCUGAAGUCACAGAAUUCGAUGGAGAAGGAGGUGGCCCAUAAAGAAAGGAAACUGAGCAAUGCCUUUAGCAUUAAUCUGAAGGAUCUAAUAAUUCACCCUAAACACAAGGAUAUACAUGAGGAUCAGAAAAUUUCUGAGAAGAACAAUGAACAUGACGAGGAGAACGAGGACUCUGAGAAUGCUGACCCUCUUAAGGGAUCAAUAUUUGAUGUAGAUUCACCUGUAGCAACAGCAGCAGCAGCUAAUGAUAAACACCACAACCAUCACCACCAUCACCAUCAUCGGAGAAAGUCCUCUACAUUUGCGGAUGAAGAAGCAAUAAAUGCUGAAGAUUUAGAACAUCUAGAUGGGACUCAUAUUGAUGAUGUGGAGAUUGAAAGAAACUCCAGGAAGAAGAAAGCAUUGUUAAGAAGAUUUGGAGAUAUUAUAACAAGAAGAAAAGGUGUUCACAGAAGGGAAUCAUCACUGGGUGGUGAAAGUCACAAGAAAGAACCCUCAUCAGCUGGUGGUGAAGCUCACAAGAAGGAUCCCACAUCUUCUGGUUCUGAAGGCCACAAAAAGGAGCCUUCACCGCUCGGUGUCAGUAGUGAAUCUCUCAGAAGGGAAGCAUCACUUGGUGAAUAAACAUAUUUUCUAUAUAAUUUCCUACAGCUUGUAGCUCUGAUUCAUUUGCAUUUGAUUAAUUUUCUUUUCUUUUUUUU